GGUUGAUCCUGCCAGUAGUCAUAUGCUUGUCUCAAAGAUUAAGCCAUGCAUGUCUAAGUAUAAACAACUUUAUACUGUAAAACUGCGUACAGCUCAUUAAAUCAGUAAUUAUUUAUUUGAUGGUACCUUACUACAUGGAUACCCGUAGUAAUUCUAGAGCUAAUACAUGCACAAAAUCCUGACUCUUCUGGGAAGGGAUGUAUUUAUUAGAUAAAAAACCAAUGCACCCUCUGGGUGGUUUGUGGUGAUUCAUAAUAACUGAUCGAAUCGCAUGGUCUUGUGCCGGCGAUAGU
Molecule: ribosomal RNA, 293 nt
Filed under: uncultured eukaryote
Lineage: Eukaryota
Description: partial 18S ribosomal RNA
Rfam family: Eukaryotic small subunit ribosomal RNA
Source: RNAcentral